Long non-coding RNA from Silurus meridionalis, 245 nucleotides. RefSeq lists it as uncharacterized. The record is from RefSeq and is a predicted model, not a curated record. The transcript has 3 exons. NCBI's taxonomy places the organism in Eukaryota, Metazoa, Chordata, Actinopteri, Siluriformes, Siluridae.
UCAUCUUUAGAACAGCAAGCAUAAAAGACAUUUCCUUUAAAUGAAUUCACCAAGGAGCAGCAGAUGGCAGAAGGAAAUGGCAGAGAGAUCAGAAGAAGGUUGGGUACAGAGCAGACAGUGUGGUAGUUGUUCUACAUGUGGCAAAAAACUGACAAAUGUCCGGGCAUUGAUACAGCAGUUUCAUGAAGGCAAAAACACUAAACAUGAUGAAUCAGAGUUUAGUGAGAAAGAUCAAGUACAGGCAA